GCAGGUCAUCAACCUGCAUCGAUUACGUCCCUGCCCUUUGUACACACCGCCCGUCGCUUCUACCGAUUGGUCGUCCCGGUGAACAAUCGGGAGGCCGUGCUCAUGGUCAGCAAUGGCCGGAGCGCGGUUGAACUUUUGUAAAUUUGGACGACUAGAGGAAGAAGAAGUCGUAACAAGGUUUCCGUAGGUGAACCUGCGGAAGGAU
RNAcentral lists this ribosomal RNA (205 nucleotides) under Polymyxa graminis f. sp. temperata. RNAcentral describes it as "partial 18S ribosomal RNA". It matches the Rfam family "Eukaryotic small subunit ribosomal RNA", at positions 1623 to 1826 of the family's 1831-position model. The record is from RNAcentral. Lineage: Eukaryota; Endomyxa; Phytomyxea; Plasmodiophorida; Plasmodiophoridae.